Long non-coding RNA from Fukomys damarensis (Damara mole-rat), 1163 nucleotides. RefSeq lists it as uncharacterized. The record is from RefSeq and is a predicted model, not a curated record. The transcript is spliced from 3 exons. Lineage: Eukaryota; Metazoa; Chordata; Mammalia; Rodentia; Bathyergidae.
AUCCUCCAAAAGGUGAAGAGAUAUCUUACUUCUCCAGCUCAUCCCAGAAGACAUGUGGGUCAGAGCUUUUCUGCCGGAUCUUCAACAUGUGCUGCACCAGGCGGAUGGAGCGAUUAUAGGAUUUGUCCAGUUCACUGAUGAUGAACAGCAGGUCUGAGCUGAGGGCUGGCACAGCUGCAUACUGCCACAGCAGCACUGGCAGAAGUUGAGGUUCACUCUGGAGAGAUGAAACCAGAUUAAACUUUGCACUUGAGUCCACUGAGAGCAGAAGAACCAUAUUGAGGAUGGGGCAUCAGCUGGAUGAACACCGCUGGCCUGAUAGAGAGUUGGGGCUGCCUUACCUUGUGGGGCCAGAGAGAUUUUGUCUUGUACUGGCCAUCCUCAUCUUGCUCAUGGUGAACCAGUGAGUCCCAACAGGAACCAUCCACAUAGGCAGCCUGACGCACACUGAAGUUACUGGGAACGAAGCAGCUCAUCGGAGACCCUGGAAGAGGAGUGCAGCUUUGAGACAUCUCUGAGGUGGGAUGGAUGAAAGGGAACCCCAGGGGCCAUCAUCAAAGAGUUUUCAGGGGCUGCCUCCACAAUUCUGGUCAAUUUUUGUGUCUGGCAAGCAUUAUCUUCCCAUGCCUUCUUUCUGAGUUUGGCACUGCUCUGUCAUAGGAAGAGAGGGCAUGACUGGAGAGAACCCCACCAUUUUGCCCUGCCUACCAGUGUGCUGACAGCCUGUUAGGUAUGGCAGUUCUUGUUUCUCAGAGCAUCCCCUAGACACCCUGGCAGGCAGCCAGUGGUGACCCCUACACUCCUGCAGUUUGGCACCAGAAGGUUUGUGGUUUGCUGGUGACAUUUUCCUGAGAGAGCUGGAAUCUUCUAGAUUCUAAAACAUAGAGAAUUAAUGCCCUGGACUUCUGAGCCCAGCUCAAGCAAAAGGGCAGGUAAGUUGUGCUGAAAGGAAAGCAGACUUAGAGGAAGGUCACUGCCUUUCCUGUUUUCCCAUCAUUUUCCAAGAAGAGGUAGAGCCUGGAACCAAUACCUUUCUCCAUCUUGCGGAUGAAUGUAGAAGCCAAACAAGGUGGACAUAUCUCACUAGGAAAUGUCCUAAGCUAACAGGGAAGGGGACCAAGAAAUGGAAGAAGGAGAGGGGAGAGGAAGAGGAUGAAAAAAAG